RNAcentral lists this ribosomal RNA (482 nucleotides) under uncultured bacterium. RNAcentral describes it as "SSU rRNA". It matches the Rfam family "Bacterial small subunit ribosomal RNA", at positions 26 to 523 of the family's 1533-position model. The record is from RNAcentral.
AGGACGAACGCUGGCGGCGCGCUUAAUACAUGCAAGUCGAACGAGAAGCUUGGUGCUUGCACCGAGUGGAAAGUGGCGAACGGGUGAGUAACACGUGAGAAACCUGCCCCGAAGACUGGGAUAAGCCUUGGAAACGAGGUCUAAUACCGGAUAUCUUUCUUUUACCUCAUGGUAGAAAAAAGAAUGCUCCGGCGCUUUGGGAUGGUCUCGCGAUCUAUCAGCUUGUUGGUGAGGUAACGGCUCACCAAGGCAUCGACGGAUAGCUGGUCUGAGAGGAUGUCCAGCCACACUGGAACUGAGACACGGUCCAGACUCCUACGGGAGGCAGCAGUAGGGAAUCUUGCACAAUGGGGAAACCCUGAUGCAGCGACGCCGCGUGCGGGACGAAGGCCCUCGGGUUGUAAACCGCUUUCAGUAGGGACGAAAGUGACGGUACCUACGAGAAGAAGCCCCGGCCAACUAUGCGCCAGCAGCCGCGGUAA